This 20-nucleotide microRNA is filed under the name Human betaherpesvirus 5. RNAcentral's name for it is "hcmv-miR-UL70-3p". Lineage: Duplodnaviria; Heunggongvirae; Peploviricota; Herviviricetes; Herpesvirales; Orthoherpesviridae. The record is from RNAcentral.
GUGGGGCAGAGGAAGACCUG